GACGAACGCUGGCGGCGUGCUUAACACAUGCAAGUCGAACGGAAAGGCCCUGCUUUUGUGGGGUGCUCGAGUGGCGAACGGGUGAGUAACACGUGAGUAACCUGCCCUUGACUGUGGGAUAACUUCAGGAAACUGGGGCUAAUACCGGAUAGGAGCUCCUGCUGCAUGGUGGGGGUUGGAAAGUUUCGGCGGUUGGGGAUGGACUCGCGGCUUAUCAGCUUGUUGGUGGGGUAGUGGCUUACUAAGGCUUUGACGGGUAGCCGGCCUGAGAGGGUGACCGGCCACAUUGGGCCUGGGAUACGGCCCAGACUCCUACGGGAGGCAGCAGUGGGGAAUAUUGCACAAUGGGCGGAAGCCUGAUGCAGCAACGCCGCGUGCGGGAUGACGGCCUUCGGGUUGUAAACCGCUUUCGCCUGUGACGAAGCGUGAGUGACGGUAAUGGGUAAAGAAGCACCGGCUAACUACGUG
RNAcentral lists this ribosomal RNA (468 nucleotides) under uncultured bacterium. Its description in RNAcentral is "partial 16S ribosomal RNA". It matches the Rfam family "Bacterial small subunit ribosomal RNA", at positions 28 to 507 of the family's 1533-position model. The record is from RNAcentral.